RNAcentral lists this ribosomal RNA (501 nucleotides) under uncultured bacterium. Its description in RNAcentral is "partial 16S ribosomal RNA". It matches the Rfam family "Bacterial small subunit ribosomal RNA", at positions 30 to 523 of the family's 1533-position model. The record is from RNAcentral.
AUUGAACGCUGGCGGCAGGCUUAACACAUGCAAGUCGAGCGGGGUGAUGGUGCUUGCACUAUCACUUAGCGGCGGACGGGUGAGUAAUGCUUAGGAAUCUGCCUAUUAGUGGGGGACAACAUCUCGAAAGGGAUGCUAAUACCGCAUACGUCCUACGGGAGAAAGCAGGGGAUCCCUUGUGACCUUGCGCUAAUAGAUGAGCCUAAGUCGGAUUAGCUAGUUGGUGGGGUAAAGGCCUACCAAGGCGACGAUCUGUAGCGGGUCUGAGAGGAUGAUCCGCCACACUGGGACUGAGACACGGCCCAGACUCCUACGGGAGGCAGCAGUGGGGAAUAUUGGACAAUGGGGGGAACCCUGAUCCAGCCAUGUCGCGUGUGAAGAAGGCCUUAUGGUUGUAAAGCACUUUAAGCGAGGAGGAGGCUCUUUUGGUUAAUACCCAAGACGAGUGGACGUUACUCGCAGAAUAAGCACCGGCUAACUCUGUGCCAGCCGCCGCGGUAA